This 604-nucleotide long non-coding RNA is filed under the name Ananas comosus (pineapple). RNAcentral describes it as "long non-coding RNA (ACOM_LNC003848)". Lineage: Eukaryota; Viridiplantae; Streptophyta; Magnoliopsida; Poales; Bromeliaceae. The record is from RNAcentral.
UGUGAGAGGAAUUAUAAAAUUACAACAUGAAAUGGGUUGUAGAUCUAGCACACUCCUCGUUAUUAUUUGUGUAGAGCUACUAUAUUAUUGGAAGUAUAGAAGAUUUGAUGCUUCUGAUUUUUUGACCCUUGGUUCAAGAAUUUUACGAUUGAGAUGAUUGUGGUCCCUCCUAGGGUUGAGCAGUACUCCUAGAGUUGAGUGGUUCCUAUAAGGUAAUAGUAUUAAUCUAAAGGUUAAAAAUGAUUAAAGGGGCUGAUAUAAGGGCCAAAAAGUCGGAAGCAUCAGAUCCUUUUUACUUCCGAUAGUAUAAUAACUCAACUCUUAUUAUAUAUAUAUAUAUAUAUAUAUAUAUAUAAAAUUAGGCUAUAAUGCUAUAAAUAGCAUCAAGUUGUUGACGCUAUUAUAUAGGUUUUCGGCCCUUGGAUGAAGAAAUGUACGUUUAGAAUGACAUGGACCCCUUAAAGUUGGAUGAGUUGUUGGUUGAAUAGUAUAAUUUAAUGGGUGAAAAUAGUCAGAGUUAAUCUAACGGUAGAAAAUUCGAUAGCGCCAAGUGCUUGGUGCUAUCGAGAGUAUCCCAGCCGGACUCUCUCUCUCUCUCUCUCUC